Malus domestica (apple) is the source of this 2066-nucleotide non-coding RNA. The record is from RefSeq and is a predicted model, not a curated record. Lineage: Eukaryota; Viridiplantae; Streptophyta; Magnoliopsida; Rosales; Rosaceae.
UUGCAAAACAAAGAGACAUACGAUAUUGCGUAUAAAAUAGUGUUUGACAAAAAUAUCUAAAGAGGGGAUGAGGAGGGGUUCUUACUGCUAACAAUUCCCUUAAAAAUGGUGCGGCAAUCAUAAGAGAGAAGGGCGCAAGUGGGGCUUUCCUAUGGGAAAAUGCACGCUGUCACAUGGCCAUGCCAUAUUUUACCUUCCAGAGUUACCACAAACCUUACUUUUUCCAGGAAAAUUUUCAUUUUCUAGGAAAAGUUUUCAUUUUCUGUAUCUUGAGAGAUCAUUCCGUUACUGAUUUUCUCUACACAUAAUCUUGAUUUGUCUACUUGGUUUAGAGCAGUUUUAGUUCAUUUGGCUUACUACAUUACUUGCCGUUGAGGGUGUACUUGCUAAAUCAGUUAUAAUACAACAUUAGCUUACUACAUUACUUGCCAUUGAGGGUUUACUUUGCUAAAUCAGUUAGAAUGGCCAUCUCAUCAGUUUAAGCACAGAUGCUAUCAAACAAGCUUUGAUGUGGAUUCCAUUCUUUUUCCCUCCAUCUGGUUCUCCACUAUUUUUUUCUCAUGACUCAUCAACAAGAGAAACGUGAACCAAUUAUUCCAACCAAAGAAAGUUGUUUUGUUAGGAGAUUACUUCAUUAAUUUAAGUUAUUCUUUAUGGUCAUGUCCCUCUAUAAGUUAUAUUCCUUCCCUUCUUAUAUGUAUAGUUCUCACAACUUCAUCUCCUUAAAGCUUUCAGACCCUAUUACUCUCUCUCUCUCUCUCUCUCUCUCUCUGAAUUAAGCUUGAAGAAUCCCCAGAGCUCCCCAUUACCUACACGGUGAUUUUCUUUAAGCGUUUAGCUUGGUCAUAUCGAGUGAAUUCACGAUUAGUAUUGUCGACAGAGCUGAGUUGUCCCUGUUGAAAGUUGAGAGAUAAUUAAGCAGGAUGGCUUCUGCCCAGGGCAAAGAAAAGCCAGCAGCCAUAAAGUUUCAGAAGAGCUACUUUGAUGUGUUGGGGUUGUGCUGCUCAUCAGAAGUUCCUCUGAUAGAGAAUAUCCUCAAGCCUCUUGAAGGUGUGAAAGACGUUUCAGUGAUUGUGCCUUCCAGAACUGUCAUUGUUGUCCAUGAUAGCCUUCUCAUUUCCCAGCUUCAAAUCGUUAAGGCACUAAACCAAGCAAGGCUAGAAGCAAAUGUGAGAGUGUAUGGGGCAGGGGACAUUUACAAGAAAACGUGGCCAAGUCCAUAUGCAAUUGGUAGUGGCGUGUUACUGGUUCUAUCAUUUCUCAAGUACGCAUAUCGGCCAUUAGGGUGGUUGGCCCUUGGAGCCGUGGCCGUUGGCAUUUUCCCCGUUGCUUUGAAACGUUUUGCGUCUAUUCGGAAUUUCAGGUUUCAUGACAUCAACAUUCUUGUUAUCAUUGCCGGACAUGCAAAAAGGCAAUGCUUCUGUUUCAGUCUCCUUCGAGCCCUCUCAGUCAUUUCUGAAACUCCAACCUCCAUAUUAAUGGACAAUACAAUUGUGAUCAAGGUUAUGAAACGGACUGGAUCAUGUGGACAGGUGACUCAAGUGAAGGUCAAGUUUCUAUUACUUUGUGUCGGUGAAUGGCGAGGAGAGAGGAAGGGGAUGAGGCAUUUGGAGGGAAUGCGAUUAUUGCGGAUUGAGAUGCCAUUGCAGCUGCCACUGCCAAACCCACUAGGCGAUGCUAGGAGGUGGUAUCUUUGAAUGGGAUUGGAAUUUGAUUUGGAUUUGGAGGGUGGACAAAUCCAUUGGCAACCAGUUUUGAUUCCAUUUUUGGUACUUCGUUUCUUGCCUUGCCUUGGCCUACAUUUGCUUCUGUGGCUCUGGGCACUUGGGCACUAGCCAAGCAGCAGAGCAUGCAAAUUGCAAUGGAAGUGCAAAGUACGUGUAUGAUUGUAUCAAAAGUGACGGAAGUUGAGAGAUAAUUAAGCAGGAUAGCUUCUGCCCAGGGCAAAGAAAAGCCAGCAGCCAUAAAGUUUCAGAAGAGCUACUUUGAUGUGUUGGGGUUGUGCUGCUCAUCAGAAGUUCCUCUGAUAGAUAAUAUCCUCAAGCCUCUUGAAGGUGUGAAAGAGG